Molecule: unclassified non-coding RNA, 288 nt
Filed under: Pleosporales sp.
Lineage: Eukaryota; Fungi; Ascomycota; Dothideomycetes; Pleosporales
Description: partial contains 5.8S ribosomal RNA, internal transcribed spacer 2, and large subunit ribosomal RNA
Rfam family: 5.8S ribosomal RNA (bases 1-71)
Source: RNAcentral
GUGAGUCAUCGAAUCUUUGAACGCACAUUGCGCCCCUUGGUAUUCCAUGGGGCAUGCCUGUUCGAGCGUCAUCUACACCCUCAAGCACUGCUUGGUGUUGGGCGUCUGUCCCGCCGCUCCGGCGCGGACUCGCCCCAAAGUCAUUGGCAGCGGCCUUGCCAGCCCCUCGUGCACACAUUGCGCCUGUGGGGAACCGUAAAGGCCCGCGUCCCAGAAGCCAACCUCGCGGUUUGACCUCGGAUCAGGUAGGGAUACCCGCUGAACUUAAGCAUAUCAAUAAGCGGAGGA